This 203-nucleotide ribosomal RNA is filed under the name Azospira oryzae. Its description in RNAcentral is "partial 16S ribosomal RNA". It matches the Rfam family "Bacterial small subunit ribosomal RNA", at positions 1333 to 1533 of the family's 1533-position model. The record is from RNAcentral. Lineage: Bacteria; Pseudomonadati; Pseudomonadota; Betaproteobacteria; Rhodocyclales; Rhodocyclaceae.
CGCUAGUAAUCGUAUAUCAGCAAUGAUACGGUGAAUACGUUCCCGGACCUUGUACACACCGCCCGUCAAGCCAUGGAAGUCGGGAGGACCUGAAGCCAGUUGCUGUAAGGCGCUGUUUAGGGUAAAACCGAUGACUGGGGCUAAGUCGUAACAAGGUAGCCGUACCGGAAGGUGCGGCUGGAACACCUCCUUUCUGGAGCUUA